AUGGGCGGGCAAGGUGGGAAUUGAACCCGCUCACUUCUGAUCAGGAGUCGACCGCCCUACCACUGUACCACGGCUGCCCCUUGUGAACUCUUCGCCCCACAGUUAAUGUCAUUACAUAGCGAAAUGAGACAUGUACAACUCCAUUUUAACCAAGGAUGAGUACUGAACCAAAAAUAUGCACCAACUUGGUAUGUAUUGGUAUCAUAUAAAAACUUGGAUUUGGGCGCUUCGUGGAAGAGCGAGUAAGGCCAUUCACGCACCCCGCACAGCGUCAGUCACGAUGCAGAAAGUUCUGCUGAACUUCACAGCAAGAGUUUCUGAUUCAGCAACCUAAUGGAUCAGAGCCAUGUGCAUAACAUUCUGAAAAAACUGCAGUUUUUGAGGUGAUUGGGGUGAAAUACGACUUCUGCAUGUGAGAAAACGGAUAAUCAGCACGGCAGAGUAGACUGUCUGGAGAAUGAAAUAAAGCAUCUUAGUUGUAUUUCUGCACUCCUUCAUCCUGUCACGCUGCUUCAUCACACUGAAAUGUUUCUGGAAAACACCUGUUCAAGCACCUGUACUGUUUUAAAGUACUGGUUCGGCUACAUAGCAGUGUUAGAAACGGAGCACUUUAUUUUUCUCAACCUCAUGAAACAUUAGUAGGUAAGACACAUUUAUUCCUUGUGAGUUUUUUUCCUAUACUGAAAAGGUUUUUGUUGUGAAAAUCAGACAAAGUUGAGAGCUGAAAAAAUAUUAUUUUACAUACUGAAAGAAAAGUGAAUUUCAUGAAUUAAAAAGCUACUUGUAUAUGAGAUACAGUUCUAGUGCUUAAUAUUCUGAUCAUUACCAAAAAAAAAAGAAAAAAUACAAUUUCAUUUAUGUGAAAGGUGCAAAAAUAUUCAAAUAACGUUUUUAUGAAGAUAUAAUUUAAAAAAUAAGUGAAAUAUUAUCUCUGGUACUAUAUUGUGAUACAUCAUGAUAUGUAUUGUAUCGCGAUACAUAUCAUGCUAGACUCUUUCCAAUACACACCCCUAAUGUAUCCUAUAGGAUACUAAGCACAGACAAGAUGUCCAGUUCAGAAAUAACAGUUCAUAGAUUUGACUGGAAGCCAGAUCCUACGAUGAUUGAUGUUGAGUUCAGUGACUGUUAUUUUUGUUACACUAUUCUCAAUUCAAUCAAUUAAAUCAACCCAUAGAGAUAGAGGAAUCUCCAUUACAAAAUGAUAUUCUAUUUCGAAUUAUGUACCUACAAUCAACCAAUCAAUCAAACUUUAUUCAUAAAAAUCUUCUUUCACUUUCAGCUUAUCCCUUUCGGGGUCACCACAGCGUAACAGCACCCACUGUUUGGCAUCAGUGAUUUGGCAGAGUUUUUACGCCGGAUGCCCUUCCUGACCAUAGACUUAAUAUAUAAUUAAACGCAUCAUCUCUGACGUCACCCAUUGACUUCCACAGUCCCCCAAAUGAAGCCUGAACAUUCAGCUCCUGGCCACAGCCAUAUUGGCUGGAGUUAACUCCGCCUCACACGGACGUUCCAAAUAUGGGAAAAAGGGGUGGGACCGAGUUCACCCGCUUUUCCUCCGGUUUGUUUUAGUUCACGCCCACAGCUCUGCCGUCUGCGGCUCCUCAAUGCUAAUGGCUAACAGCUUCAAUUCUCCAGGAAAGCAGCUUUGCGGUGGAUUAUUUACAUCAUGAAUCUUUACAGUUUGGAUUAAUGGUGACGUCAUUUCCAUUUGGCAUCAGAAGGACAGUUCAACAAAACCACCACAGCGACAUGAGCUCGGCGUGGACCCACAUCACCUGGUUGAGCUGAGGCGGAUGGUGGUGGACAUCUUUUAUUUUUAAUUCUACAAGGAAGAGCAGCUCCUGGUUCUCUCAUCACUGUGGAGGACGUGAACGGGCGACGUCUGGAGUCUGGAGCUGUCUUUGGGAUCGGAGAGAACGUCCAGCGGCUGCACACUCUUCAACCCAUCAAUAAACUUUAUUUCUCUUUCAUUUCUUACUAAAUUUUUUUUCAGUAGAUAGAAAUGUACUCUUUAGGAUGAUUUAUUAGGUUCUCUAAAUGUAUAAAAACAGACAGUAUUAUCAUAGAUGAUGCUUUCUAACCAUGACAUGUGUAAAGAGGCCCCUACUUUGAAUAAAGGAAAACUAAUUCUGAAUGUUCAAUGAUGAAUGUUUGUUAUGUUUUGAAUCAUUUCAUCUGCUUCAAAAAUAAAUUUUGUACGAUCUGACUUUGACCCGCAUUUCCUUUUGUUUUACCUAUAUGCUAAAACAGUGAAUAAACAGAAGAGACUGGUCACUCAAA
Long non-coding RNA from Oryzias melastigma (Indian medaka), 2280 nucleotides. RefSeq lists it as uncharacterized. The record is from RefSeq and is a predicted model, not a curated record. The transcript is spliced from 2 exons. NCBI's taxonomy places the organism in Eukaryota, Metazoa, Chordata, Actinopteri, Beloniformes, Adrianichthyidae.